ACACGGGGGGCGCAAGCGUUAUUCGGAAUUAUUGGGCGUAAAGGGCGUGUAGGCGGUUUUAUCGGUCAGAUGUGAAAGCCCAGGGCUCAACCCUGGACGUGCAUUUGAAACAGUAAGACUUGAGUACGCUAGAGGAAAGCGGAAUUCCUGGUGUAGAGGUGAAAUUCGUAGAUAUCAGGAGGAACACCGAUGGCGAAGGCAGCUUUCUGGACCGAAACUGACGCUGAUGCGCGAAGGCGUGGGUAGCGAACAGGAUUAGAAACCCUAGUAGUCC
This 274-nucleotide ribosomal RNA is filed under the name uncultured bacterium. Its description in RNAcentral is "partial 16S ribosomal RNA". It matches the Rfam family "Bacterial small subunit ribosomal RNA", at positions 523 to 796 of the family's 1533-position model. The record is from RNAcentral.